RNAcentral lists this ribosomal RNA (225 nucleotides) under uncultured bacterium. Its description in RNAcentral is "partial 16S ribosomal RNA". It matches the Rfam family "Bacterial small subunit ribosomal RNA", at positions 111 to 334 of the family's 1533-position model. The record is from RNAcentral.
UAACGCGUGGUCAACCUACCGUUGAGUGGGGGAUAACUAGCCGAAAGGUUAGCUAAUACCGCAUACGAUCGCCGAGUGGCAUCACACGGCGAUGAAAGGAGCAAUCCGUUGAGAGAGGGGACUGCGUCCCAUUAGUUAGUUGGCGGGGUAAUGGCCUACCAAGACUCCGAUGGGUAGCUGGCUUGAGAGAGCGACCAGCCACACUGGAACUGAGACACGGUCCAG